This 334-nucleotide ribosomal RNA is filed under the name uncultured bacterium. Its description in RNAcentral is "bacterial SSU rRNA". It matches the Rfam family "Bacterial small subunit ribosomal RNA", at positions 29 to 365 of the family's 1533-position model. The record is from RNAcentral.
AUUGAACGCUGGCGGCAUGCCUUACACAUGCAAGUCGAACGGCAGCACGGGGGCAACCCUGGUGGCGAGUGGCGAACGGGUGAGUAAUACAUCGGAACGUGCCCAGUAGUGAGGGAUAGCCCGGCGAAAGCCGGAUUAAUACCGCAUGCGACCUACGGGUGAAAGCGGGGGAUCGCAAGACCUCGCGCUGUUGGAGCGGCCGAUGUCAGAUUAGGUUGUUGGUGGGGAAAGGCCUACCAAGCCGACGAUCUGUAGCUGGUCUGAGGGGACGACCAGCCACACUGGGACUGAGACACGGCCCAGACUCCUACGGGAGGCAGCAGUGGGGAAUUUU